This 253-nucleotide ribosomal RNA is filed under the name uncultured bacterium. Its description in RNAcentral is "partial 16S ribosomal RNA". It matches the Rfam family "Bacterial small subunit ribosomal RNA", at positions 524 to 776 of the family's 1533-position model. The record is from RNAcentral.
UACAGAGGGGGCAAGCGUUAUUCGGAAUUAUUGGGCGUAAAGGGCGCGUAGGCGGCUUUGCAAGUGACGGGUGAAAGCCCUCGGCUUAACCGAGGAACUGCCUGUCAGACUGGGAGGCUUGAGACCAGGAGAGGUGAGUGGAAUUCCCAGUGUAGCGGUGAAAUGCGUAGAUAUUGGGAGGAACACCAGUGGCGAAGGCGGCUCACUGGACUGGUACUGACGCUGAGGCGCGAAAGCGUGGGGAGCAAACAGG